GACGAACGCUGGCGGCGUGCUUAACACAUGCAAGUCGAACGGUAAGGCCCCAGCUUGCUGGGGUACACGAGUGGCGAACGGGUGAGUAACACGUGGGUGACCUGCCCCGCACUUCGGGAUAAGCCUGGGAAACUGGGUCUAAUACCGGAUAGGACCGCACCGUGAGGGUGGGGUGGAAAGUUUUUCGGUGUGGGAUGGGCCCGCGGCCUAUCAGCUUGUUGGUGGGGUAAUGGCCUACCAAGGCGGCGACGGGUAGCCGGCCUGGGAGGGUGGACGGCCACAUUGGGACUGAGACUCGGCCCCGACUCCUAAGGGAGGCAGCAGUGGGGAAUAUUGCACAAUGGGCGGAAGCCUGAUGCAGCGACGCCGCGUGGGGGAAGACGGGCUUCGGGUUGUAAACUCCUUUCACCAUCGACGAAGGUUUUCUGACGGUAGAUGGAGAAGAAGCACCGGCUAACUACGUG
RNAcentral lists this ribosomal RNA (464 nucleotides) under uncultured bacterium. RNAcentral describes it as "partial 16S ribosomal RNA". It matches the Rfam family "Bacterial small subunit ribosomal RNA", at positions 28 to 507 of the family's 1533-position model. The record is from RNAcentral.